This 258-nucleotide ribosomal RNA is filed under the name uncultured bacterium. RNAcentral's name for it is "partial 16S ribosomal RNA". It matches the Rfam family "Bacterial small subunit ribosomal RNA", at positions 524 to 777 of the family's 1533-position model. The record is from RNAcentral.
UACGGAGGGUGCAAGCGUUAUCCGGAUUUACUGGGUUUAAAGGGUGUGUAGGCGGGCUAUUAAGUCAGUGGUGAAAUCUCCGGGCUCAACCCGGAAACUGCCAUUGAUACUAUUAGUCUUGAAUUUUGUUGAGGUAGGCGGAAUAAGUCAUGUAGCGGUGAAAUGCAUAGAUAUGACUUAGAACACCAAUUGCGAAGGCAGCUUACUAAGCAAAAUAUUGACGCUGAGGCACGAAAAGCGUGGGGGAUCAAAACAGGG